AUUGAACGCUGGCGGCAGGCCUAACACAUGCAAGUCGAACGGUAGCAGGAAGCAGCUUGCUGCUUUGCUGACGAGUGGCGGACGGGUGAGUAAUGUCUGGGAAACUGCCCGAUGGAGGGGGAUAACUACUGGAAACGGUAGCUAAUACCGCAUAACGUCGCAAGACCAAAGAGGGGGACCUUAGGGCCUCUUGCCAUCGGAUGUGCCCAGAUGGGAUUAGCUAGUAGGUGGGGUAACGGCUCACCUAGGCGACGCUCCCUAGCUGGUCUGAGAGGAUGACCAGCCAAACUGGAACUGAGACACGGUCCAGACUCCUACGGGAGGCAGCAGUGGGGAAUAUUGCACAAUGGGCGCAAGCCUGAUGCAGCCAUGCCGCGUGUAUGAAGAAGGCCUUCGGGUUGUAAAGUACUUUCAGCGGGGAGGAAGGGAGUAAAGUUAAUACCUUUGCUCAUUGACGUUACCCGCAGAAGAAGCACCGGCUAACUCCGUG
Molecule: ribosomal RNA, 490 nt
Filed under: uncultured bacterium
Lineage: Bacteria
Description: partial 16S ribosomal RNA
Rfam family: Bacterial small subunit ribosomal RNA
Source: RNAcentral